GAAGGGAGAGGGAGAGGGAAAGGGAGCCGGGUUGACACAGAGAGAGAGGAAAGGAGGAGGAGAGAGACAGGGAUGGAAUCAGGGAGAGAGAGAAACAAACAGAAAGACAGACGGGGACAGAACAAAGAUAACAGUUCCUGUUCUUUGGCUCAGAGUUCCUGCUUCCACUGAAGGAGUUCAGCUUUGGGAUCGUCUUGCCUUCCCAUCCUGCUCUCUGGUCUGCAAUGCAGCAUCGCAUCUCAAAUAGCCUUUUCAUUGGAUCUCCCCUGCCUCCGACAUCACACACUGUGUGUGUGUGAGUAGCAGUCCUUAUGGAAGGCUUGGUGCAAUAGAGAGGUUUCAUACAAGCGGUUCAGCCGCUUCUCUGCCUCAA
Molecule: long non-coding RNA, 373 nt
Organism: Panthera uncia (snow leopard)
Lineage: Eukaryota; Metazoa; Chordata; Mammalia; Carnivora; Felidae
Exons: 2
Source: RefSeq, a predicted model, not a curated record